This 2026-nucleotide ribosomal RNA is filed under the name marine metagenome. Its description in RNAcentral is "bacterial LSU rRNA". It matches the Rfam family "Bacterial large subunit ribosomal RNA", at positions 3 to 2061 of the family's 2925-position model. The record is from RNAcentral.
UCAAGCAAUUAAGUGCAUACGGUGGAUGCCUUGGCGGUAAGAGGCGAUGAAGGACGUGGUAGUCUGCGAUAAGCUUCGGGGAGCCGACAAACUGGCUUUGAUCCGGAGAUUUCCGAAUGGGGAAACCCACCGCUUUUGCGGUAUCUGCACCUGAACACAUAGGGUGUAGAGGCGAACCUGGCGAACUGAAACAUCUAAGUAGCCAGAGGAAAAGAAAUCAACCGAGAUUCCCUAAGUAGCGGCGAGCGAACGGGGAACAGCCUUUAAGCCUCAUGAGUCCUAGUAGAACGGUCUGGAAAGUCCGGCCAUAGUGGGUGAUAGCCCCGUACAUAAAAGAGCUCUUGAGGUGAAAACGAGUAGGGCGGGACACGUGAUAUCCUGUCUGAACAUGGGGGGACCAUCCUCCAAGGCUAAAUACUCCUUACCGACCGAUAGUGAACCAGUACCGUGAGGGAAAGGCGAAAAGAACCCCGGUUAGGGGAGUGAAAUAGAACCUGAAACCGUAUGCAUACAAGCAGUGGGAGCACUGGCUUUGCCGGUGUGACCGCGUACCUUUUGUAUAAUGGGUCAGCGACUUACUUCUCAGUGGCAAGGUUAACCGUAUAGGGGAGCCGUAGGGAAACCGAGUCUUAAUAGGGCGACUUAGUCUCUGGGAGUAGACCCGAAACCGGACGAUCUAUCCAUGGCCAGGUUGAAGGUGGGGUAAUACCUGCUGGAGGACCGAACCAACUAAUGUUGAAAAAUUAGUGGAUGAGCUGUGGAUCGGAGUGAAAGGCUAAACAAGUCCGGAGAUAGCUGGUUCUCACCGAAAACUAUUUAGGUAGUGCCUCGUGUAUCACUCUCGGGGGUAGAGCACUGUUAUGGCUAGGGGAGCGUCAAGCUUUACCAAACCAUUGCAAACUCCGAAUACCGAGAAGUGGCAGCACGGGAGACAGACUGCGGGAGAUAAGUUUCGUAGUCGAGAGGGAAACAGCCCAGACCGCCAGUUAAGGUCCCCAAGUUACAGCUAAGUGGGAAACGAUGUGGGAAGGCCCAGACAGCCAGGAGGUUGGCUUAGAAGCAGCCACCCUUUAAAGAAAGCGUAAUAGCUCACUGGUCAAGUCGGCCCGCGCGGAAGAUAUAACGGGGCUUAAGCUGUACACCGAAACUGCGGAUGCAUGCUUGCAUGCAUGGUAGGUGAGCGUUCCGUACGCCUGUGAAGGUGUGCCGUAAGGCAUGCUGGAGGUAUCGGAAGUGCGAAUGCUGACAUGAGUAGCGAUAAAGGGGGUGAAAAACCCCCUCGCCGAAAGCCCAAGGUUUCCUGCGCAAUGCUAAUCAGCGCAGGGUGAGUCGGCCCCUAAGACGAGGCCGAAAGGCGUAGUCGAUGGGAAGCAGGUUAAUAUUCCUGCACCAGUCAUGACUGCGAUGGGGUGACGGAGAAGGCUAAAUCAUCCGGGUGUUGGAUAUCCCGGUUUAAGCGUGUAGGAAGUGUUCUUAGGAAAAUCCGGGAACACAAUUCUGAGGCGUGAUGACGAGGACCCAUUUGGGACCGAAGUGGUUGAUGCCAUGCUUCCAGGAAAAACCUCUAAGCAUCAGGUCAUGAGUGACCGUACCCUAAACCGACACAGGUGGGCAGGGCGAGUAGCCCAAGGCGCUUGAGAGAACUCGGGUGAAGGAACUCGGCAAAAUGGCACCGUAACUUCGGGAGAAGGUGUACCCCUUGUAUGUGAAGGUCUUUACGACUGGAGCAGAAGGGGGUUGCAAUAAAGAGGUGGCUGCGACUGUUUAAUAAAAACAUAGCACUCUGCAAACUCGAAAGAGGACGUAUAGGGUGUGACGCCUGCCCGGUGCCGGAAGGUUAAUUGAUGGGGUUAGCUGCUUGCAGCGAAGCUCUUGAUCGAAGCCCCGGUGAACGGCGGCCGUAACUAUAACGGUCCUAAGGUAGCGAAAUUCCUUGUCGGGUAAGUUCCGACCUGCACGAAUGGCGUAACGAUGGCCACACUGUCUCCACCCGGGACUCAGCGAAAUUGAACUCGCUGUGAAGAUG